Molecule: transfer RNA, 71 nt
Filed under: Cordylochernes scorpioides
Lineage: Eukaryota; Metazoa; Arthropoda; Arachnida; Pseudoscorpiones; Chernetidae
Description: tRNA-Gly
Rfam family: tRNA
About the family: Transfer RNA (tRNA) molecules are approximately 80 nucleotides in length. Their secondary structure includes four short double-helical elements and three loops (D, anti-codon, and T loops).
Source: RNAcentral
GCAUCGGUGGUUCAGUGGUAGAAUGCUCGCCUGCCACGCGGGCGGCCAGGGUUCGAUUUCCGGCCGAUGCU